Molecule: long non-coding RNA, 1942 nt
Organism: Biomphalaria glabrata
Lineage: Eukaryota; Metazoa; Mollusca; Gastropoda; Planorbidae
Exons: 3
Source: RefSeq, a predicted model, not a curated record
AAAGGAAAUUACCGCAAGUGUACAUAUGUGGUUGGAGUGAUCGUUAAAUGAACUUGUGUGUUACCCGUGCUUGUAAUCGUGCUAGUAUUUGUAAUCGUGUUCGCAUUAUCGUAGUCUGUGAAUCGUGACCAGUCUGUACUGUGUUAUUGUGUGUAUCAGUCGUGUUUUAUUGAAAUAAAGCCUUGUUUCUAAGGUUAUGAAUUGACUUAGUAUAUUACAGUGGUCUUUCCAUUCCUAAUUUAAGCAGGACGAAGAAUAAAAAAAGGAAGACGUUCAAAGUGAUACGAAGUAUGAUGUUUGGACUCUCUGGACCACUGAUGAUGAAUUGUAAAAUUUCUCUUCCAAUAAAACUUCCAAGUAUACAUGUGAAGCUAUUGACAUGGCUGUUCAUCAUAAGUCUAGUUGUAGCUGAAACUGAGACGCUAAACAAGAAGUGGAAUGUGUACCAACAGCCAAAACCUACUCCAAAGAAAACAACUAGAUCCGUUAUGAAAGCUAAAGCCAAUUAUGACAAUAAACAGAAUGCAUUCAGAUACAAUAUAAAAAACCCAGUCAUUCAAGGAUUUUACUUCAAGAAAUGAGAACUGGGGAUCGUUUCUUAGGUCAAUUAAUCAUUACCACUUUAGCUGCAUGUCUUUGAGUUCACGUAAUAUGCAAAUUAUGAUCCGUGGGCAGCAUGGAAUAUCUGUCUAGUAUAUAUUAUUCAUUGAUUUAUUGUAACUAUUAUUUCCUUCGCAUAGAUUUACGAUUUGGAUCUCAAUGUUUGUAAAGACAUAAUUAUUAUUAGUCAGCAAUACUUUUUACAAAGCUUAUAUAGUUUACAGUAUUAUGCAAUUGCUUUCUUGUAUUUUCUUUGCACUUUAUUUAGGCCUAUAUGCAUUUAUUGUUGAUUUGGUUUGUUCUUGUUUACUUACUUACUUAGACUUAGGUCCUCCCGCGCCGUUCGGCGCAUUGGGCGGUAAGCUGUCUCCACAAAGAUCUGUCACUGGCAAUGUCUGAAGCCUCCUGGUCCUUGUUUACAUAUAAGUAAUUUAUUUAAAAAAAAAACAACGCAAUCCUACAUAGCUACGUACAAAAUAGACAGAUGCGGGACCAAAAGUGUUGCCGAUAUGACUGCAUUGUUUGGCAUAACUGUGUUGUUUGACCCGACUGUUUCUAUAGAACGCAUAAAAAAAACUUUAGGCAAAGUACGAAAUUAAUUUUUCCUGAAAAAUCGGAACAUAAAAUUAACGAUAACUUGAUUUUGUAACGUUUUAGCUAGAAAAUUAAAUGUGGUGUAAGAGAGAAGUGUGAAUUUACAUAAAUAGAGUUAAAAUGUUUUUUAUACAAAAUCCUGAGCAACCGAUUUUCCUUAAUGAGAAGAAGAUUAUUUGUUUUACUUAUUAGGAGAGGAAUUUCAAACAGUUAUUUGGCGUUAUUGCUUUUUUUAAUAUAAAAUUCGGAACAAUUUUUGCGACGAUUUGUAAGAAAAUUAAAGUAAUGUAGGUCGAUUUCUUUUUCAAAACAAAAUCCGGAACAUACUUUACCGAUAAAAAAAAAAAGGAAGGAACAUUAACCCUUUCUCUCCUGACGAUACCAGCGUCGAUUCCACUAGAAUGUGAUAAAUAAUUACGGAGAGAAAGAGUUAAAGGUUAAAUCAGAUUUUCAAUAGCAUUUAGUGUUGUUGUUUUUUAUCUAAACGUGACGGAAAGACCAACCAACAGACAAAACGCAAAAAAACAAAAAAUCUGAUUAUUUUAAAAUUUUGCGGGAAUUAUUUUUGCACCAUUGAAAGCCUGGGCGUCACGCUACUGCAUGAAAUUCGCUGCAUAAAAGUCCAUUUAAAAAAUGUACGUGAUAUUUACAUACAAAGUGCAUUAUUAGCCUUUAUAAACAAAAAUAUAUAUGUAUUCUUUUAAUUUUAGCAGCUAGUUGACCAGAAAUAAAACAGUUAAUUAAUAUU